CAGCACCCUCACAAACACACACAGCACCCUCACACAAACAGCACACUCUCACACAGCACACUAACAGCACCCUCACAAAUACACGACACAAACAGCACCCUCACACACACAUAUCACACAAACAGCACCCUCACACACAGCACACUACCAGCACCCUCACCCACAUAGCACACUAACAGCACCCUCACACACCCACACAGCACCCUUCAACACCCACACAGCACCCUUACAC
Pelobates cultripes (western spadefoot toad) is the source of this 232-nucleotide non-coding RNA. The record is from the annotation of a GenBank genome assembly. Lineage: Eukaryota; Metazoa; Chordata; Amphibia; Anura; Pelobatidae.